GUCAUCAAGUGAUGAAAUAUGGAUAAAUCUUAGGACACCUUCCUACAUAGCUCAUUUGCUAUGGAUGAGAAUAACUUUUCCAUUCUGAUGAUGAU
Tripterygium wilfordii is the source of this 95-nucleotide small nucleolar RNA. RefSeq annotates it as small nucleolar RNA snoR31/Z110/Z27. NCBI's taxonomy places the organism in Eukaryota, Viridiplantae, Streptophyta, Magnoliopsida, Celastrales, Celastraceae. The record is from RefSeq and is a predicted model, not a curated record. The transcript has a single exon.